This 349-nucleotide ribosomal RNA is filed under the name uncultured Mycobacterium sp. RNAcentral describes it as "bacterial SSU rRNA". It matches the Rfam family "Bacterial small subunit ribosomal RNA", at positions 8 to 359 of the family's 1533-position model. The record is from RNAcentral. Lineage: Bacteria; Bacillati; Actinomycetota; Actinomycetes; Mycobacteriales; Mycobacteriaceae.
AGAGUUUGAUCCUGGCUCAGGACGAACGCUGGCGGCGUGCUUAACACAUGCAAGUCGAACGAAAAGGCCUCUUCGGAGGUACUCGAGUGGCGAACGGGUGAGUAACACGUGGGCAAUCUGCCCUGCACUUCGGGAUAAGCCUGGGAAACUGGGUCUAAUACCGGAUAGGACCUCAAGACGCAUGUCUUCUGGUGGAAAGCUUUUGCGGUGUGGGAUGGGCCCGCGGCCUAUCAGCUUGUUGGUGGGGUGACGGCCUACCAAGGCGACGACGGGUAGCCGGCCUGAGAGGGUGUCCGGCCACACUGGGACUGAGAUACGGCCCAGACUCCUACGGGAGGCAGCAGAAGGG